ACACACAGUAUAGAUGAAUACCAGAAUAGCAAGUGCAUCAUUUAUUACAUCGUAUGAUCCAGAAUAUAUAAAAUAAAACAAUUUGCAUAGCACUUGGCUAGCUUUAUUUAAUCAAACAGCGGAAAGUAGCAGAAAAUAACGAUGAGUCCCAUCAUAGCCCACUGGCGAUGCUGAGUGUAGACUCGCGACCCUAACGGUACCUUACUCUUCGUCUGAAUAUCCUGCAACAUGAGACGUUGCAGCCAUAUAGGUCAAUACUUUGAAUGUAUUGGCAAGUUACACAGGAGUAAUAAUAUAGCAGACCUACAUGUAUAUGCAUAGUACAACAAAGGAAGGCUUGAGGGUUUAUUUUUGCAUAAAGCUGAUUUUAUCCUAAUAACUACCUAAUAGUCAAAUUUUUAUUUAGUCCUUUUAUUACUACAAUUAAAUACACAAGGUUGAGUUGGCAAAAUCAACUCCAACCUACCCUUUAUUAAGUUGCCCACAAAUAUUAUUAAGUGUCACAUCUGUCAAGAUCAUCCAACAACUGUAAUGGCAUAGUGGCUCAAAUUUACCCAUAACCGGGGGCACGGCUAAUCAUGAUUAGUUUUAAUACUCUGCAGAGUUUUGUACGCUUUACCCACUAGACCCAAUCCGAAGAUUGAGACGAAGUCUUUCAGAAGAGGUUCCCUUAACCACCUGACGGCCACAUCCCACCUACAUAUGCUACAUCUGUCGACACAGUCUGGGCAAGGGUUCCAACAACUGAUCAACUAAGCCAGAGCCCAUAUAGCCAGUGGCCGCACAUGGAAGCUACUAGUCACUAAGUCUGUCUGAUCUUUUUGAACCUGGGCUGCAUUCCACUUAGGGUGCACUCUCAUGGGCGCGUGGCCUUAGAAAAGGUGCAAAACCCCAUGAUGCCUUCCCUCAACACCAAGCAAUACCACUUCCGCCCAGAGGUGAGUUAAAUCCUGAGUUACUACUCAAUUGUUAUAUAUAUAUAUAUAUAUAUAUAUAUAUAUAAUCCUCACAUAAACUCAAUGUAUACACGAACCACCCCCGUCUACAAAGCAUAGAAACCUACAACUACCACGAUUUGCAAUGACGGGAAGAUAGCUCAACAGCAUAUAGCAAAAUAAUAUAGUAAUCAUAUACAUGCAUAUAUUCAUAGUGUGAUAUAACUACAUGCAUAGAAAACAAUAGGUAAAGGAUGAUCAACAUGUAACUUGCCUUGGUUCUGGUUCAGAAGGUCACACUCCUGACAAUAGUUUGCGUCGCACUCCGGACAAUCUACACGUUUCACACAAUUCAACAAAUCAAUCACCGGAACACGAAUCGAACCAAAAUAAAACCAACAGCAAGAAAAUCAUUUCAAAAACACAACAACAGAAGCUUAACAGCACCUAAAUUGCACUACGGUCACAACACAAAAAGAAUCACUCGAAUCCGAUAAAUGGUUUGUGAGUUAUGGCCUCCAGAAGGUUUAAUUCAAAUUCAAACGAAUUCAAAUUUGAACAGAGCAAACAUGUGCAAAGUUGGUACUGUGAUAUUGUGCUGAUUUUUGUGAGUGCACAGGAAAAGGAAUCACCUAAUUUGGACUUAUAGAAUAAAAGAUAUAGCUAGUUGAAGUUUUAGCUGAAAUCUGAAAAGAAAACAGAAAACAACAGAAAACUCCUGCACUGUUCGUGCGUGUACUGUAGCUUGUGCCCACAUGGCAGCUCGUGAUUGGCCAAAGGCUCCUGUGCGCGUGCGUGCUCACCAGAAGCAGAGGACGGCGGCGGCGGUCUCGGGCGUUGGCGGCGGCGCUCCUCCGGUGGGUCUCUGGCGAAGGUGAAGUGACGGGCGGGUGCGGUGUCGAGCGGCAGAGGCGGCGGUGGUGUUCAACGGCGACGGGGCUCCCUCCGUAGGCGACAGCAACGAGGUGAACCAUGGUGGUGCUCCGGCGAAGUUGGGCGGCGGUGGCGGCGGCGGCGUUCUGGCGAUCUGCAGGUCACCCCGAUUGGUCAAACGAGUGCUUCAUGGAGCGGCGGAUCAAACAGAGCAAGAAGUGAGGCUCGGCGCGUUCUUACGGUGGCGCAACUGCCCGGCGAACGGCGAAGCUCUUCGGCGAGAUCCAAUCGCCCCAACCAGGGCGUGCGGCAACGGGGACGAUCGGGACAGGGGAUGCAGGGCUUCCCUGGGGUCUUCUGCUUGCGCACGGCAGCUCGGGCGCGCUCGAGGUGGACCAGGACGCCAGGUUGAUCCGGCUCGGCCUCGGCUGGGCGUGC
Molecule: long non-coding RNA, 2246 nt
Filed under: Triticum aestivum (bread wheat)
Lineage: Eukaryota; Viridiplantae; Streptophyta; Magnoliopsida; Poales; Poaceae
Description: long non-coding RNA (TAES_LNC022224)
Source: RNAcentral